GAGAGAGAGAGAGGCAGUGGGGAGAGAAACAGAUGAAUGGGUAUGGGGGAGUUGGAACUCCCCCUGCCUGGGUCUUAACCCCAUGCGCCCUCGGCAGCGCGGUAGUAUCGCACCUCAUCGCGGUAGUACCGCUUGGGCGGAAGUGCCGCACCGAAGAGGUAGUACUGCUCCCCCAGGCGGCAGUAAAAAAUUAUUGCCACGCUGGGUGCGGAAGUACCAUGCACUCCACAAGCGGUAGUACCGUGGCAGGCCGCGGUAGUACUGUGAGCUCAAAACGAUGCAAGUUUCAAACAAAAAAAGAAAGGGGCUACGCAAGAAAACAUCAAGCGAACGAGGCACCGCAAGAACACGCUCACCACGAAGAAAGAAAGAAAGGCAAGAGACAACAAGGACCAACCACGAGACACAACCUCUCCAAGGAGAGGGCGGUGGCCGGAGCCACCUAUGUUUGAGUCAAUUGGUAUGGCACCGUGAAGAAUUAUCCUUGGGCCCAUGACCAAAACUUGUCUUCGAGGCACAAGUGCCAUCAAAAAUGGGUAAUGUUAAAGAGUUGAUCAAUUUAUGCAUAAUGGUGGGAGGGAGAGUUCAUUGAGAGAACAACACUCCCACUAUGUCCAUGCCUACACCUAAACAAUAUAACAAGUUGAGUAUGGUGGGGUGUGCAUGGGUUCAAGCAACAUUGCUCGAAUCAAUGAUAUUUAGCUCAUGCCUUAACUCGCGAAAUCUUGCUUCAUCCAAGGGCUUCGUGAAGAUAUCUGCAAGGUUAUCAAGAGUGUUGACAUAGUUGAGUUUGAUCUCCCCUCGCCUAAUAUGAUCCCGGAUGAAGUGAUACCGGAUCUCAAUAUGCUUCAUCUUGAAGUGUUGCACCGGGUUGAGAGAAAUCUUGAUUGCACUUUCAUUGUCACACCAAAGAGGCACUUUGUCACAAAUGACACUGUAAUCCUUUAAAGUUUGCCUCAUCCAUAAGAGUUUUGCACAACAACUACCAGCCGCUACAUACUCCGCUUCAGUGGACGAGAGAGACACGCAACUUUGCUUCUUGGAAGACCAACUCACCAAAGAGCAACCAAGAAAUUGGCACCAUCCGGAAGUGGACUUCCUAUCCACUUUGUCUCCUGCCCAAUCCGAGUCCAAAUAACCUACAAGCUUGAAGUUUGCUCCUCUUGGGUACCAUAAGCCAAAGUUUGGGGUAUGAGCCAAAUAUCAAAAGAUUCGCUUGACCACCAUGAAGUGACUUUCCUUAGGUGCGACUUGAAACCAUGCACAAAUUCCCACACUCAACAUGAUAUCCGGUCUAGAUGCACAAAGGUAAAGCAAGGAUCCAAUCAUGGAGCGAUAUACCUUUUGAUCCACUGCUUUACCAUUGGGAUCUAUGUCAAGUUGGCAUUUGACGGGCAUAGGAGUGGAUGCCGGCUUGACAUCACUUAGCUUGAAUCUCUUGAGCAUGUCUUGAGUGUAUUUGGCUUGGUUGAUGAAGGUUCCUUCUCUUCUUUGCUUCACUUCGAACCCGAGAAAGAACUUCAACUCUCCCAUGGAAGACAUCUCGAACUUUGAGGUCAUGAGAGCGGCAAAUUCCUCAUUGAAAGAUUUGUUGGGGGAACCAAAGAUAAUAUCAUCAACAUAUAAUUGGCACACAAACAACUCCCCUUUUACCUUCUUAGUAAAAAGAGUGGGGUCGAUUAGCCCAACUUCAAAACCAUGGUCUUGUAACAACUCGGUAAGGUGGUCAUACCACGCACGUGGGGCUUGUUUAAGGCCAUAGAGUGCCCUAUCGAGUUGAUACACAUGAUCANNNNNNNNNNNNNNNNNNNNNNNNNNNNNNNNNNNNNNNNNNNNNNNNNNNNNNNNNNNNNNNNNNNNNNNNNNNNNNNNNNNNNNNNNNNNNNNNNNNNNNNNNNNNNNNNNNNNNNNNNNNNNNNNNNNNNNNNNNNNNNNNNNNNNNNNNNNNNNNNNNNNNNNNNNNNNNNNNNNNNNNNNNNNNNNNNNNNNNNNNNNNNNNNNNNNNNNNNNNNNNNNNNNNNNNUUAAUAGGACCAUUAAGAAAAGAACUCUUCACAUCCAUUUGUUGUAACUUAAAGUUAUGAUGAGAAGCAUAUGCAAUCAACAUGCGAAUGGAUUCAAGACGAGCAAUGGGAGCAAAGGUUUCACCAUAGUCGAUACCCUCAACUUAGGAGUGGCCUUGUGCUACCAAACGAGCCUUGUUGCGAAUGAUAAUCCCAUGAGCAUCUUGCUUGUUCUUGAAUAUCCACUUGGUUCCAAUGACAUUGUGGUUCCCCGUUGGCCUUGGCACCAAUCUCCACACUUUGUUGUGCUCGAAGUUGUUGAGUUCUUCAUGCAUGGCAUUGAGCCAAUCCGGAUCUUCGAGCGCCUCAUAGACCUUUUGGGGUUCAACACAAGACACAAACGCGUGAUGUUCACAAUAGUUUUCUAACUGUCUAUGAGUGCUUACUCCUUUUCUUAAGCUUCCAAGCACAUUUGUCAUGAGAUGAUCUUUGGUGGAGAGCUUGGAAGCAAUCUUGGCGGCACGACGCUCCAAUUCCUCCUCGGGGUGAGUCGAGGAGUGGUCACUUGAUCAUCUUGAGCGCCGUCUUGAGCUUGCUCUUGAUCUCGAGGAAGCUCUUGAUCUUGAACUUGCUCGGAGGAGAGAACUUGACCUUGGGCAUCACUUGAUGUUACAACACCAUCUUGAGAUUGACCUUGCCCUUGGUCUUGUUCUUGAGGUUGAGGGCCUUCACUUUGUUCUUCGGAAGCGUGUGGGCCUUGGGUUGGUGAUGGCUCCACUUGAGUGGAGCAUUGUCCUUCUCCUUCGGCCACAAGGGAUUCCUCAAUGGGUAGGAUAAAACCAACACCCAUUAUUCUUAUGGCUUGGGGAGGAAUUUCAUCACCUACAUCACAAGUGCCACUUUGCUCCACUUGGGAGCCGUUAUUCUCAUCAAACUCCACGUUACAUGUCUCCUCAAUAAGUCCCGUGGACUUAUUGAGGACACGGUAAGCAUGGGAGUUUGUAGCAUAACCAACAAAUAUGCCCUCAUGAGAUAUAGCCUCAAAUUUAGACAAACGAACACCUUUCUUGAGAAUGAAACACUUACACCUGAACACCCGGAAGUACUUGAGGUUGGGCUUGUUCCUGGUGAGUAUCUCAUAUGGAGUCUUGUUCAAGCCUUUGCGGAGGUAGAGCCGAUUUGAUGCAUGACACGCGGUGUUGAUGGCUUCAGCCCAAAAGUUGUAUGGAGACUUGAACUCUGCCAUCAUGGUCCUUGCCGCAUCCAUCAACGUCUGGUUCUUCCUCGCCGCUACACCAUUUUGUUGAGGGGUGUAUGGUGCGGAAUAUUGAUGCUUGAUCCCCUCAUCACUAAGAAACUCAUCCGAGGUGUAGUUCUUGAACUCGGUGUCGUUGUCACUUCUUAUUGUCAAGAUCUUUGCAUUGUGUUGAUGUUGAGCUUCAUGAUAUGUCCAUUUUGCAUCAUGCUUUUAUAUCAAUAUGCAUUGCAUUAUGGGCUGUUAUUACACAUUAUGUCACAAUACUUAUGCCUAUUCUCUCUUAUUUUACAAGGUUUACAUAAAGAGGGAGAAUGUCGGCGGCUGGGAUUCUGGCUGGAAAAGGAGCAAAUAUUAGAGACCUAUUCUACACAGCUCCAAAAGUCCUGAAACUUCACGGAUGAUGUUUUCCAAAUAUAUAAAAAACAUUGAGCGCAAGAACUUCACCAGGGGGGCCACACCCUACCCACGAGGGUGGGGGUGCGCCCUACCCCCCUGGGUGCGCCCCCCUACCUCGUGGGCCCCCUGGUGGCCCUCCGGUGACCAUCUUAUACUAUAUGGACUCUUUCGAUCAGAAAAAAAUCAUAAGCCAUCUUCUCGGACGAAACUCUGCCGCCACGAGGUGGAACCUUGGCGGAGCCAAUCUAGGGUUCUGGCGGGGCUGUUCUGCCAGGGAAACUUCCCUCCUGGAGGGGGAAAUCAUCGCCAUCGUCAUCACCAACGCUCCUCUCAUCGGGAGAGGGCAAUCUCCAUCAACAUCUUCAUCAGCACCAUCUCAUCUCAAAACCCUAGUUCAUCUCUUGUAUCCAAUUCUUGUCUCCAAGUCCGGGAUUGGUGCUAGUAGGUUGCUAGUGGUGUUAAUUACUCCUUGUAGUUGAUGCUAGUUGGUUUAAUUGGUGGAAGAUCAUAUGUUCAGAUCCUAUAUGCACAUUAAUACCCCUUUGAUUAUGAACAUGUUUAUGCUUUGUGAGUAAUUACUUUUGUUCCUGAGGACAUGGGAGAAGUCUUGAUAUUAGUAGUCAUGUGAAUUUGGUAUUCGUUCGAUAUUUUGAUGAGAUGUAUGUUUUCUCUCCUCUAGUGGUGUUAUGUGAACGUCAACUACAUGACACUUCGCCAUUAUUUGGGCCUAGAGGAAGGCAUUGGGAAGUAAUAAGUAGAUGAUGGGUUGCUAGAGUGACAGAAGCUUAAACCCUAGUUUAUGCAUUGCUUCGUAAGGGGCUGAUUUGGAUCCAUACGUUUCAUGCUAUGGUUAGGUUUACCUUAAUAAUUUUGUUGUAUUUGCGGAUGCUUGCAAUAGAGGUUAAUCAUAAGUGGGAUGCUUGUCCAAUUAAGGGCAGCACCCAAGCACCCGUCCACCCACAUACCGAAUUAUCAAAGUACCAAACGCGAAUCAUAUGAGCGUGAUGAAAACUAGCUUGACGAUAUUCCCAUGUGUCCUCGGGAGCGCUUUACAUCAUAUAAGAGUUUGUCCAGGCUUGUCCUUUGCUACAAAAAGGAUUGGGCCACCUUGCUGCACCUUAUUUACUUUUGUUACUUGUUGCUCGUUACAAAUUAUCCUAUCACAAAACUAUCUAUUACCACUUAUUUCAGUACUUGCAGAGAAUACCUUGCUGGAAACCGCUUAUCAUUUCAUUCUGCUCCUCGUUGGGUUCGACACUCUUACUUAUCGAAAGGACUAUGAUAGAUCCCCUAUACUUGUGGGUCAUCAAGACUCUUUUCUGGCAUCGUUGCCAGGGAGUGAAGCGCCUUUGGUAGGUGGAAUUUGGUAAGGAAAAUUUUAUAUAGUGUGCUGAAAUUUACUGUCACUUGUUACUAUGGAAAGUAAUCCUUUGAGGGGCUUGUUCGGGGUAUCUUCACCCCGACCAGUAGAGCAAAGAGUUGCUCCUCAACCCACUGAACCUACUGAAAAUGAAAAUUCUUGCUUCGAAAUUCCUUUGGGUAUGGUAGAAAAACUGCUAGCUAAUCCUUUUUUGGGAGAUGGAACAAAACAUCCUGAUGAGCAUCUAAUAUAUGUGGAUGAAGUUUGUGGAUUAUUUAAGCUUGUAGGUGUACCCGGAGAUGUUGUUAAGAAGAAGGUCUUUCCCUUAUCUUUGAGGGGAGAUGCAUCGACAUGGUAUAGGCUAUGUGCUGAUAUGGAGUCUUGGAAUUACAAACGAUUGAAAUUGGAAUUUCAUCAAAAGUUUUAUCCUAUGCAUCUUGUUCAUCGUGAUCGCAAUUAUAUAUAUAAUUUUUGGCCUCGCGAAGGAGAAAGCAUCGCUCAAGCUUGGGGGAGUCUUAAAUCAAUGUUAUAUUCAUGCCCCAAUCAUGAGCUCUCAAGAGAAAUGAUUAUUCAAAAAUUUUAUGCUCGGCUUUUUGAUAACAAUCGCACCAUGCUUGAUACUUCUUGUGAUGGCUCUUUUAUGAUGAAGACUAUUGAAUUCAAAUGGGAUUUAUUGGAAAGAAUUAAACGCAACUCCGAAGAUUGGGACCUCGACAAUGCUAAGGAGUCAGGUAUGACACCUAGUUUUGAUUGUGUUAAAUCUUUUAUGGAUACCGAUAUUUUCCGUAAAUUUAGCACUAAAUAUGGACUUGACUCUGAGAUAGUAGCUUCUUUCUGUGAAUCUUUUGCUGCUUAUGUUGAUCUCCCCAAGGAGAAGUGGUUUAAAUAUCAUCCUCCCAUAGAAGUAAAAGUAGCUGCACCUAUUAAAGUUGAAGAAAAGACUAUUACUUAUAAUGAUCCUAUUGUUCCUACUUCUUAUGUUGAGGAACCACCUUUCCCUGUUAGGAUAAAGGAUCAUGCUAAAGCUUCAACUGUGGUUCGUAAAAGCAAUAUUAAAACAUAUACACCUCUUGAGCAAGUUAAAGUUGAACCUAAUAUUGCUAUUGUUAAAGAUCUCUUGUCUGAUAAUAUAGAUGGGCAUGUUAUUUAUUUCUGUGAUGAAACUGCUAGAAUUGCUAAACCUCGUGAUGCGGAUAAACCUAGAUCUGUGAUAGGUAUGCCUGUUAUUUCUGUUAAAAUAGGAGAUCAUUGUUAUCAUGGCUUAUGUGAUAUGGGUGCUAGUGCUAGUGCAAUACCUAUUGACUUAUACAACGAAAUUAUGCAUGACAUUUCACCUAUUGAGUUAGAAGAUAUUGAUAUCACAACUAAACUUGCUAAUAGAGAUACUAUUUCACCAAUGGGAAUUGUUAGAGAUGUAGUCUUGUGUGGGAAAACUAAAUAUCCUGCUGAUUUUCUUGUUCUUGGUUCCCCACAAGAUAGCUUCUAUCCCAUUAUAUUUGGUAGACCCUUCUUAAAUAUUGUUAAUGCUACCAUAGAUUGCAAAAGAGAUGCCGUUACUGUCGGUUUAGAUGAUAUGACUCAUGAAUUUAAUUUUUCUAUAUUUAGUAGACAAUAUCGUGAAGAAGAAUUACCUAGUAAAGAUGAAAUUAUUGGUCUUGCCUCUGUUGCCGUACCUCCUAGUGAUCCUUUAGAACAAUAUUUACUAGACCAUGAAAAUGAUAUGUUUAUGAAUGAAAGAAGGGAAUUAGAUGAAGUAUUCUUUAAACAGGAACCUAUUCUGAAACAUAAUUUACCUGUUGAAAUCCUAGGAGAUCCUCCUCCACCCAAGGGUGAUCCCGUGUUUGAGCUUAAACCGUUACCGGAUACUCUUAAAUAUGCUUAUCUUGAUGAGAAAAAGAUAUAUCAUGUUAUUAUUAGUGCUAACCUUUCAGAACAUGAAGAAGAGAGAUUAUUAAAAAUUCUGAAGAAGCACCGUGCUGCUAUUGGGUAUACUCUUGAUGAUCUUAAGGGCAUUAGUCCCACUCUAUGUCAACAUAAAAUUAAUUUGGAAGAAGAUGCUAAACCAGUUCGUGAUCAUCAACGUCGGCUGGAUCCUAAAAUGAAAGAAGUGGUAAGAAAGGAGAUACUAAAGCUCCUUGAGGUAGGUAUAAUUUACCCCAUUGCUGAUAGUCAGUGGGUAAGCCCUGUCCAUUGUGUCCCUAAGAAGGGAGGUAUUACUGUUGUUACAAAUGAUAAAGAUGAAUUGAUUCCUCAAAUAAUUAUUACUGGUUAUAGGAUGGUAAUUGAUUUCCGCAAAUUAAAUAAGGCUACUAAAAAAGAUCAUUACCCCUUACCUUUUAUCGAUUAAAUGCUAGAAACAUUAUCCAAACAUACACAUUUUUGCUUUCUAGAUGGUUAUUUUGGUUUCUCUCAAAUACCUGUGUCAGCCAAAGAUCAAUCAAAGACUACUUUUACUUGCCCCUUUGGUACUUUUGCUUAUAGACGUAUGCCUUUUGGUUUAUGUAAUGCACCUGCUACCUUUCAAAGAUGCAUGAUGGCUAUAUUCUCUGACUUCUGUGAAAAGAUUUGUGAGGUUUUCAUGCACGACUUUUCCGUCUAUGGAUCUUCUUUUGAUGAUUGCUUGAGCAACCUUGAUCGAGUUUUGCAGAGAUGUGAAGAAACUAAUCUUGUCUUGAAUUGGGAAAAGUGCCACUUUAUGGUUAAUGAAGGUAUUGUCUUGGGGCAUAAAGUUUCUGAAAGAGGUAUUGAAGUUGAUAAAGCCAAGGUUGAUGCUAUUGAAAAGAUGCCAUGUCCCAAGGACAUCAAAGGUAUAAGAAGUUUCCUUGGUCAUGCUGGUUUUUAUAGAAGGUUCAUUAAGGACUUCUCAAAAAUCUCUCGGCCUCUGACUAAUUUAUUACAAAAGAUAUACCAUUUGUCUUUGAUGAUGAUUGUGUAGAAGCAUUUGAAAUACUUAAGAAAGCAUUGAUCUCUGCACCUAUUGUUCAGCCACCUGAUUGGAAUUUUCCCUUUGAAAUUAUGUGCGAUGCUAGUGAUUAUGCUAUAGGUGUUGUUCUAGGACAAAGAGUUGAUAAGAAACUAAAUGUUAUUCAGUAUGCUAGUAAAACCCUAGACAAUUGUAGCAACCAGACCUCAAACAGUCUGAUCUCUGUGCUCCGGUGUGAUCCCUGGAUCAGUAAUGUUGACACCACACAGUACUCGGAGGAUUUAUAACAGAGUAGCAAUCACACACUUAUUACAUCGAGUGUCUCAAACGAGAACUUAUUACAAUAAAUAUGGCUUAAGGCCAUCUAAUAACGAUAACAGCGGAAGGCUUGGAAGAUAAGUGAGUUCAUCAACUCCAACGGCAUCACUGAGUAUAGAACCACGACCUAAAAACUCCUUAAUCGUCGUCUGAAAAGUCUGCAACAUUAGUUGCAGCCCAAAACAGGUCAGCACAUGGAAUAUGCUGGCAAUGUAACACAUAGAGGGUAAGGAAUGAAACAGCUAUACUAUAUGCAUAUUUGGCUGGUGGAAAGCUCUAUGGUUACAGUUUUGCGUAAAGCCAAUUUUCCCCUACUACAAAGGAAUAAAUUUUAUUUAACUAUCAUGGUAGUUGUUACACAUUGAGAAUGGUUGACAGCAUCCUCAAUCCCAAUUAAGCAUCAUCAUUAAACAAAACCCAACAAAAUUAAUUUGGAGUAACAUGUUGAGAUUCACAUGAUAAUCCAGGUACUAGAUACUCAAAAUGUCCAUAACCGGGGACACGGCUAACCAUGAUUAGUUUAUUACACUCUGAAGAGGUUUGCGCACUUUUCCCCACAAGUCUUGGUCGCCUCCGUUUGGUUUCUCGCACUACAAGGUGUUUGAGAAGACGGAUGACCAAGACAUAGUCUUUCAGAAGCGCUAGCACCUUACGAUCGGGUAGACCAUACCACCUACAUCCCCUACAUCUGCUAGUCUACCACUGUAAGAGUUCGCACGACUUAGUCAACUAUGCUAGAGCCCAUAAUAGCUUGUGGCUGCACACGGAAGUUUCUAGUAUGAAUAGUCUCAUGAUCCCUUUGAGCCUGGGUGGCGGUCCAAAAGAAAACAGGCAAGUCCUGGAAUACCCAGGUGCCUCAAUCCACCCAGAUGUGUUUUUAAGUUGCCACCUUAGAUAAACCAUUCAUUAACAAAACUCAUAUCUGUCAUGGAUAUCACUCACCCAAUCCACGUCUACUAGCAUAGCAUGGCAUAAUAAGCAAACGCGGAAGUAACUCCCAAAGGUUUGAUAAUAAACAGGUAAUAGGUACUACCUCAACUACUUCCCAUCCCACAAUUUAAUUAGAUCCUAAUCAUGCAAUGUGUGAGGAUUUGAUCUAAUGCAAUAAAACUGGGUAGUAGAAAAGGUAUGAUCAAAGUGUUACUUGCCUUGCUGAUGAUCCGCGAAACCUAGAGAUUCGAAGUAACAAGCAGUGCACUCCGGGUAUUCUAUCGCAGACAAACAAACAAGCAUACAAUAAGUACUCAUCUAAUGCACGGGUAAAACUAAAAUAGGAGAUCUAACCAGAAGGUUCAAUUUAAGAACUCCGAUUUGCAAAAAGAAUCAAAUCGAACGAAACAACGAAAGUCAAACGGCGAAAGAAAACAAGUUCGUUCUACCAAUCUGGAUCUAGGGCAAUUUUUACAGUAGCAAAAUCUUGUUUAAGUUGGUUAAACGGAUAGAGGGUUUCGAGACGAAACUCCAGGCGCUUGAAUCGCCUGAUUCCGAUAAACGAGCGAAAAGUUAUACUAAAACGAAAAUCGGGUCAGGAAUCGCGAUCAAAAAAAUCGCGGAUUAAAUCCGAGAAAAAGAAAAAAACGACGAACGUUCGCUAGAACGAACGAACGGACGAACGCUCUCUAUUUAAAUAAACCAGAAAAGCCGAUCUAUUUAAAAAACAGAAUCUAAAAAAACUGACACAAAAUCGACGGUUUUUCGAAAAAACUAAAAAAAAUCGGCACGGAAACGAGGCGGCGAACCUCGGGCGGCGUGCGGCGGCGGNNNNNNNNNNNNNNNNNNNNNNNNNNNNNNNNNNNNNNNNNNNNNNNNNNNNNNNNNNNNNNNNNNNNNNNNNNNNNNNNNNNNNNNNNNNNNNNNNNNNNNNNNNNNNNNNNNNNNNNNNNNNNNNNNNNNNNNNNNNNNNNNNNNNNNNNNNNNNNNNNNNNNNNNNNNNNNNNNNNNNNNNNNNNNNNNNNNNNNNNNNNNNNNNNNNNNNNNNNNNNNNNNNNNNNNNNNNNNNNNNNNNNNNNNNNNNNNNNNNNNNNNNNNNNNNNNNNNNNNNNNNNNNNNNNNNNNNNNNNNNNNNNNNNNNNNNNNNNNNNNNNNNNNNNNNNNNNNNNNNNNNNNNNNNNNNNNNNNNNNNNNNNNNNNNNNNNNNNNNNNNNNNNNNNNNNNNNNNNNNNNNNNNNNNNNNNGCGGGCGCUGGGGCUGGGGCAGCUUAGGGUUUCGGCUGGGGCUGGGCCUCCCCCGGAUUAUAAAGGCUAGCCGGGCCGGAGUCCUAGUCGGACACGGCCCGUAGGUCGGUUCGUUUUUUUUACGCGCAGAAGAAAAAUAAAAAGAAAUACUAAACGGACUCCAAAAAUUCUGAAAUAAAUUUUCACGGGCUUCUAAAAUCAAGCCUCACAAGGUGAACAUUUAUUUGGGGCCUUGCAAUUUUGAAAAACGCACAUUUUUCCUAAAUUCAAAUAAAACACCGAAAAACUUCGAAAUAAAAUCUUAUUUGAUUUUAUUAUUAAAUCCUCAAUAUUUCUUUAUUUUGGGAAAGUCAUUUUAUUCCCUCUCUCAUAUUUUUGUAAUAUAAAUAAUUGAUGAUAAAAUAAUUAAAAUCAAAUGAUCCUAUUCUCAAAAUUUGAGAAAACUCAAAUAUGAAAAUAACGAAAUCCCCAACUCUCUCCGUGGGUCAUUGAGUUGCGUAGAAUUUCUAGGAUCAACCAAAAUGCAAAAAUAAAAUAUGAUAUGCAAUGAUGAUCUAAUGUAUAACAUUCCAAAUUGAAAAUUUGGGAUGUUACAAACCUACCCCCCUUAAGAUGAAUCUCGCCCUCGAGAUUCGGGUUGGCUAGGAAAUAGGUGAGGGUGGUCCUUGAGAAAUUCUUCCUCUCGUUCCCAGGUGGCUUCAUCCUCUGUGUGGUGGCUCCACUGAACUUUGCAAAACUUGAUAACCUUGCUUCGAGUGACUCGAUUGGCAAACUCGAGAAUCUUAACGGGUCUCUCCACGUAGGUCAAAUCGUUAUCCAACUGAAUAGUUUCCAAAGGCACUGUGUCUCUCAACGGUAUGUCAGCCAUCUCCGCGUGACACUUCUUCAACUGGGAAAUGUGGAACACAUCAUGAACUCCUGACAAUUCUUCAGGUAAUUCCAACUUGUAGGCCACUUCUCCCAUAUGCUCCAAAACUCGAUAUGGUCCUACAAAUCGUGGCGCUAACUUCCCUUUAACUCCAAAACGCUUUGUUCCCUGAAGUGGAGAUACUCGAAGAUAAGCUCUGUCUCCGACUUUGUAAACUGUCUCCUUGCGUUUAGAAUCUGCAUAACUCUUCUGUCUGGACUGGGCUACCUUGAGCCUAUCGCGAAUCAACUUCAUCUUCUGUACAGACUCUUUAAUCAAGUCAGGUCCAAACAACUGGCGGCCUCCAACUUCGUCCCAUGACAGCAGUGUCCUGCACCUCCUUCCGUACAAGACUUCAAAAGGGGCCAUCUUUAAACUAGUUUGGUAACUGUUGUUGUAAGAGAAAUCUGCAUAUGGCAAAUUGUCGUCCCAACUAGAUCUGUAAUCUAGCACACAAGCUCUCAGCAUAUCCUCCAAAAUCUGAUUGACUCUCUCGGUCUGUCCAUCUGUCCGUGGAUGAAAAGUUGUACUGAAUUCUAGCCUGGUACCCAAAGUUUCAUGCAACUGCUUCCGGAACUUUGAGGUAAACUGGGUUCCUCUAUCUGAUACGAUACUCCUUGGAACUCCAUCAAACAUACGAUCCUGGUCAUGUAUAUCUUCGCCAACUUAGCACUGGUGUAAGUGGUCUUUACUGGGAUGAAAUGAGCUACUUUCAUCAAUCGAUCAACUACAACCUAAAUCGAGUCGUAGCCUGAACGAGUCAUGGGUAAUCCCGUGAUAAAAUCCAUGCCUAACUUAUCCCACUUCCAUUCGGGUAUCGGUAAUGGUUGUAACACUCCUACUGGCUUCUGAUGCUCUGCCUUUACUCUCUGACAUACAUCACAAACUGCUACAUACCCCGCAAUAUCCUUCUUCAUUCCGGUCCACCAGAAAAUAUCCUUCAAAUCCAAAUACAUUUUGGUAUUUCCUGGGUGAAUCGAAUAUUGUGAAUCAUGUGCCUCUUGCAGAAUCAACUUCCUAAUCCCGGGUCAUUGGGCACAUAAACACGGUCUUCAAACCAUAGGGUGUCGUGCUCAUCCUCACGAAAUCCUUUAGCUUUUCCUUUGCUCAGUUUCUCCUUUAUAACGGCAAUCUCUUUGUCAGUCUUCUGAGCUUCUCUGAUUCUAUCCAUCAAGGUUGACUGAAUCUCCAAUGCUGCUACAUAGCCUCUCGGAACUAUUUCCAAACAUAGUUCAUGAAGAUUUUCUGCUAACUCCUUGGGUAUUUCUCCCGUCAUUAACGUAUUGACAUGGCUCUUAUGGCUUAAGGCGUCAGCUACUACAUUAGCCUUUCCAGGAUGGUAUUGCAAUCUCAUAUCAUAAUCCUUGAUGAGUUCCAACCAUCUCCUUUGUCUGAGAUUCAACUCCUUCUGUGUGAAAAUUUACUUCAAACUCUUAUGAUCCGUGUACACCUCACAAUGGUUUCAAAUGAUGAAAUGCCUCCAUGUUUUCAAAGCAUGCACUACAGCUGCUAACUCCAAAUCAUGCAUGGCAUAAUUCAACUCAUGAGGCUUCAGUUGUCUUGAGGCAUAUGAAACAACUCUCCCUUCCUGCAUAAGCACUGCUCCAAGUCCUCGAUGUGAAGUGUCGCAAUACACCUCAUAAUCUUUGGUCUGGUCUGGCAAAAUCAACACUGGUGAGGUAACCAAAUGUUCCUUCAACUCCUGGAAACUAGCCUCACAUUCCUCCGUCCAUAUGAACUUGGUAUCUUUCUUUAAUAACUCCGUCAUAGGCUUCGCAAUCUUUGAGAAAUUCUCAAUGAAUCUCCGGUAGUAUCCUGCGAGUCCAAGAAAACUCCGGAUCUCUCCAACGGUAGUUGGUGCUUCCCACUUGCUCACGGUAUCUACUUUGGUAGGAUCUACUGCUAUACCUUCUCCAGAUAUAACGUGUCCGAGGAAUCCUACUUCCUUCAACCAAAACUCACAUUUGCUGAACUUGGCAUAUAAUUGAUGUUCUUUGAGCUUUCCAAGUACCAAACGCAAAUGCUCCUUAUGCUCCUCUUCAUUCUUCGAAUAAACCAGGAUAUCAUCAAUGAACACUACGACGAACUUAUCCAAAAACUCCAUAAAUACUUUGUUCAUCAUGUUCAUAAAAUAGGCAGGUGCGUUAGUCAGACCAAAUGACAUAACGGUAUACUCGUACAGCCCAUACAUGGUGGUAAAAGCUGUCUUAGGAAUAUCCUAUUCUCAAAUCUUCAACUGGUGGUAUCCUGAUUGCAGAUCGAUCUUGGAAAAUACCUUAGCUCCUUGCAAUCGAUCAAACAGAUCAUUGAUCAUUGGUAGUGGGUACUUGUUCUUAAUUGUUACUUCGUUCAAUCCUCGAUAAUCAACAACCAUCCUUAACAAUCCAUCCUUCUUCUCCACUAGAAGUACUGGCGAUCCCCAAGGCGAAGAACUUGGGCAAAUAUAUCCCUUAUCCAGUAACUCCUUAAUCUGCUUCUUAAUUUCUACCAAAUCCUUUGCUGGCAUCCUAUAUGGUCUCUUUGAUAUUGGCCCGGUGCCUAGCAAUAGCUCAAUCAAAAACUCAAUAUAUUUAUCCGGUGGCAUGCCUGGCAACUCCUCUGGAAAUACUUUAGGGAAAUCCCUUACCACUGGUACUUCCUCCUGCACAACUCCUGUUAAGCAAUUUACUUGAGUCCUCUUCGGCACAUGUCGGGAUACAUACUUGAUCCUUCUCCCUUCUGGGGUGGUAAGCAAAAUUGACUUACCAGCGCAUUCAAUAUUUCCUUCAUACUUUGAUAACCAAUCCAUGCCUAAUAUCACAUGCAAUCCUUGAGAUUCCAAUACUAUUAGUUCUGAGGGAAAAACAUAGUUACCAAUCCUUAAUGGUAACCGAUCACACCAUAGACUAGCCACAUACUCUGCUCCAGGCGAGGUUACUAACAUGGGUGACCUAAGGGCUUGGGUUGGUAGGUUAUAGUUAUCCACAAAUCCACUGAAGAUGUAUGAAUGUGAUGCACCCGUAUCAAAAAGAACGAGUGCGGUAAAUGACUUAACCAGAAACUUACCUAUUACUGCAUCAGGCUGAGCUUCAACCUCCUCCACGCUAACGUGGUUCACCUGUCCCCUAUUAAAAGGGUUCGGCUUCUUCCCAGAGCUUCCAUUGCCAUUUCCAUUUUGUAUCUCAUGGCAUUCAUUGGCAUAAUGUCCGGUCUUCGAACACUUAAAGCAAGUGACUUGGCUCAGGUCCUUCUUGGCUGGGGUUGAUGGGUUGGUGCGAUUCUGGCCAUUGCUUCCUCCAUUUCCAUUACCAUUCCUGGUGCCAUUGUGAUUGUCCGAGCUACCUCCUCCAUGGGUAUGCUGGAAAUGUCCUCCCGGUCUAGGGGUAAAACGUGGCUUCUGCUGAGCUCCUAAAGUGUACUUUCCUUGUCCAUUCUUCCUCUUGUGAUUCUCAAUUUGCUGCUGCUUCCCUUCAAUCAUAAGAGCACGAUCUACCAACUCCUGGUAGUUAUUGAAGGUUGCUACCAUCAACUGCAUGCUCAACUCAUCAUUCAGUCCUUCCAGAAACUUCUCCUGCUUAGCUGCAUCCGUAGCGACGUCAUCUGGAGCAUAAUGUGCUAACUUACUAAAGUCCUCCACAUACUGGCCAACUGUCCGUCCUCCUUGGCGCAAGUUGCGAAACUCAUGCUUCUUCAUGGCCAUAGCUCCUACUGAAACAUGCGCAGUACGAAAAGCCUGCUGAAACUGGUCCCAUGUGACAGUCUCAACAGGGAAAGUGGCUAUGAAAUUCUCCCACCAUGAUGUUGCUGGUCCUUCAAGUUGAUGUGCGGCAAACUUCACCUUCUCCGCAUCUGUGCAUCCUGCUGUGGUCAACUCUCUAGCUGUCUUGCGGAGCCAAUCAUCUGCUACUAUCGGCUCGGUGCUACUGGAAAACACCGGUGGAUUCAGCCUAAGAAAACGGGCUAUGUGGUCAACUGGUGGUGGUGGUGGUGGGUUGUUGUUGUUCCCCUGAUUCUGAUUCUGGACUAGCAACUGCAUCAAUGUGUUCUGCUGCUGGAUCAACUGAGUGAGCUUCGGUGGAAAGGUAAAUCCGGGGUCACGUCUCAGAGGCAUCUCAGGGUUUAGAAAAGAUGAGAUGUAAGAAUAGAGGGGGUCUAAAGAGAAAACACUACCCAUAUGAACAUGAGGCAAAAUCAAACAAUUCACUUCAUUCAAUCAAACAAGGGCAUACAAUCAAUCUAACUAUCGCAAAAGUGCUUGGACUACUAUAUUUACAUGGUGGACUACUACUAUUGGUGAGGUGGUCUACUAGAAAUAUUCUUCGGUUGCAAACUCCAUGAUAUCUGCUCCAGCUUCAUCAACAUAGUCAUCAUCGCUUCCGUCUGGAUCCGAAUCGGUGUCGUCGAUGAUGAUGUAGUCUUCCGGGCUAAUCUCCUUGGGUUCUUCGUCUUCCUCUACUGGUGUAGGGCCUCCCAUAAAUAUUCCAAUCUUCUUGAUCAGGUCGUCAUUUUUCUCCACCAAUACUUCAAUUUCUUCUUCAUAAUCUUCACGUGUAGCCUUGAGUUCUUCCUCCAGUUCCUUGAUUCUAGUCUUAGCCUUCUUCAGAUCUAUCAUGUCGGCACACAUCUGGUUCUCCUGUCGUCGAAUGUGCUGGUUUAGCUCCUGAAUAAAAGCUGCAAUUGAUCUAUCCUUCCUGGUGCUGAUCAUCUCCCAGUGCUCAUCUCGGCGCCCACAAAUCUGGUAGAUUGUAUCCUUGAGGUCAUUGCGGUAGACUUCUCCAAUGCGUCCCAUGGCGAUGUGAGCUGCCAUGCUCAUUCCCAGACUCCAAGUUGGUGCAUCAAAAGAAAACUCUAUGGGCUCAGUGACUGGCAUGAACGUCCUUCCUGGAACUUGAACUUGAAUCAUCCAGCGCUCUUCUUCAGGUAAAGUGGCGUUGUAGGUUCCGGUGAAGCUUGGUAUUCCUAUGUUCAGGUAUCUAGUGACUUCCUUCAAGUGACGUCCAAAGGGUGUAUCUUCAUCUGGUUGCGUGAACUUGUUCCUUGCAUCCGCCAUCCUAAAGAGUAGAAAAGAUGAGAGGUCAGAAGAGAAGAGAGUGAAUAGUGAUCUAGGUCUCUAACUUAGUGGUCGUGUCCUACAGUCAGCGUGUGCUCUGAUACCAUCUCUGUAGCGACCAGACCUCAAACAGUCUGAUCUCUGUGCUCCGGUGUCAUCCCUGGAUCAGUAAUGCUGACACCACACAGUACUCGGAGGAUUUAUAACAGAGUAGCAAUCACACACUUAUUACAUCGAGUGUCUCAAACGAGAACUUAUUACAAAAAAUAUGGCUUAAGGCCAUGUAAUAACGAUAACAGCGGAAGGCUUGGAAGAUAAGUGAGUCCAUCAACUCCAACGGCAUUACUAAGUAUAGAACCACGACCUAAAAACUCCUUAAUCGUCGUCUAAAAAGUCUGCAACAUUAACGUUGCAGCCCGAAAUGGGUCAGCACAUGGAAUAUGCUGGCAAUGUAACACAUAGAGGGUAAGGAAUGAAACAGCUAUACUAUACGCAUAUUUGGCUGGUGGAAAGCUCUAUGGUUACAGUUUUGCGUAAAGCCAAUUUUUCCCUACUACAAAGGAAUAAAUUUUAUUUAACUAUCAUGGUAGUUGUUAAACAUUGAGAAUGGUUGACAGCAUCCUCAAUCCUAAUUAAGCAUCAUCAUUAAACAAAACCCAACAAAAUUAAUUUAGAGUAACAUGUUGAGAUUCACAUGAUAAUCCAGGUACUAGAUACUCAAGAUGUCCAUAACCGGGGACACGGCUAACCAUGAUUAGUUUAUUACACUCUGCAGAGGUUUGCGCACUUUUCCCCACAAGACUCGGUCGCCUCCGUUUGGUUUCUCGCACUACAAGGUGUUUGAGAAGACGGAUGACCGAGACAUAGUCUUUCAGAGCGCUAGCACCUUACGAUCGGGUAGACCGUACCACCUACAUCCCCUACAUCUGCUAGUCUACCACUGUAAGAGUUCGCACGACUUAGUCAACUAUGCUAGAGCCCAUAAUAGCUUGUCGCUGCACACGGAAGUUUCUAGUAUGAAUAGUCUCAUGAUCCCUUUGAGCCUGGGUGGCGGUCCAAAAGAAAACAGGCAAGUCCUUGAAUACCCAGGUGCCUCAAUCCACCCAGAUGUGUGUUUAAGUUGCCACCUUAGAUAAACCAUUAAUUAACAAAACUCACAUCUGUCAUGGAUAUCACUCACCCAAUCCAUGUCUACUAGCAUAGCAUGGCAUAAUAAGCAAACGCGGAAGUAACUCCCAAAGGUUUGAUAAUAAACAGGUAAUAGGUACUACCUCAACUACUUCCCAUCCCACAAUUUAAUUAGAUCCUAAUCAUGCAAUGUGUGAGGAUUUGAUCUAAUGCAAUAAAACUUGGUAGUAGAAAAGGUAUGAUCAAAGUGUUACUUGCCUUGCUGAUGAUCCGCGAAACCUAGAGAUUCGAAGUAACAAGCGGCGCACUCCGGGUAUUCUAUCGCAGACAAACAAACAAGCAUAAAAUAAGUACUCAUCUAAUGCACGGGUAAAACUCAAAUAAGAGAUCUAACCAGAAGGUUCAAUUUAAGAACUCCGGUUUGCAAAAAGAAUCAAAUCGAACGAAACAACGAAAGUCAAACGGCGAAAGAAAACAACUUCGUUCUACUAAUCUGGAUCUAAGGCAAUUUUUACAGUAGUAAAAUCUUGUUUAAGUUGGUUAAACGGAUAGAGGGUUUCGAACGAAACUCCAGGCGCUUGAAUCACCUGAUUCCGAUAAACGAGCGAAAAGUUAUACUAAAACGAAAAUCGGAUCAGGAAUCGCGAUCAGAAAAAUCGCGGAUUAAAUCCGAGAAAAAGAAAAAACGACGAACGUUCGCUAGAACGAACCGACGGACGAACGCUCGCUAUUUAAAUAAACCGAAAAAACCGAUCUAUUUAAAAAAACCGAAUCUAAAAAAAACCGACGAAAAACCGACGGUUUUUCGAAAAAAACUAAAAAAACGGCGCGGAAAACAAGGCGGCGAACCUCGGGUGGCGUGCGGCGGCGUCGGCGUCCGGCGGUGGGGCGGCGGUGGUGUUGGCGCUGGCGGCGGCGGGCGCUGGGGCUGGGGCGGCUUAGGGUUUCGGCUGGGGCUGGGCCUCCCCCAGCUUAUAAAGGCUAGUCGGGCCGGAGUCCUAGUCGGACACGGCCCGUAGGUCGGUUCGUUUUUUUUACACGCAGAAGAAAAAUAAAAAGAAAUACUAAACGGACUCCAAAAAUUCUGAAAUAAAUUUCCGCGGGCUUCUAAAAUCAAGCCUCACAAGUUGAACAUUUAUUUGGGGCCUAAAUGUAAUUUUGAAAAAUGCACAUUUUUCCUAAAUUCAAAUAAAACACCGAAAAACUCCGAAAUAAAAUCUUAUUUGAUUUUAUUAUUAAAUCCUCAAUAUUUCUUUAUUUUGGGAAAGUCAUUUUAUUCCCUCUCUCAUAUUUUUGUAAUAGAAAUAAUUGAUGAUAAAAUAAUCAAAAUCAAAUUAUCCUAUUCUCAAAAUUUGAGAAAACUCAAAUAUGAAAAUAACGAAAUCCCCAACUCUCUCCGUGGGUUGAAUUGCGUAGAAUUUCUAGGAUCAACCAAAAUGCAAAAAUAAAAUAUGAUAAGCAAUGAUGAUCUAAUGUAUAACAUUCCAAAUUGAAAAUUUGGGAUGUUACAACAAUGCUCAAAGAAAUUAUGCUACUACUGAAAAAGAAUUCUUAGUGGUUGUAUUUGCUUGUGAUAAGUUUAGACCUUAUAUUGUUGAUUCUAAAGUAACUAUUCACACUGAUCAUGCUGCUAUUAAAUAUCUUAUGGAAAAGAAAGAUGCUAAACCUAGACUUAUUAGAUGGGUUCUCUUGCUACAAGAAUUUGAUUUACAUAUUGUUGAUAGUAAAGGAGCUGAGAACCCCGUUGCAGACAACUUGUCUAGGUUAGAAAAUGUGCUUGAUGACCCACUACCUAUUGAUGAUAGCUUUCCUGAUGAGCAAUUAAAUGUCAUAAAUACUUCUCAUACUGCUCCAUGGUAUGCUGAUUAUGCUAAUUACAUUCUUGCUAAGUUUAUACCACCUAGUUUCACAUACCAGCAAAAGAAAAAGUUCUUUUAUGAUUUGAGGCAUUACUUUUGGGAUGACCCACAUAUUUAUAAAGAAGGAGUAGAUGGUGUUAUUAGACGUUGUGUACCUGAGCAUGAACAGGAACGGAUCCUAUGCAAGUGUCACUCCAAAGCUUAUGGAGGGCACCAUGCUGGAGAUAAAACUGCACAUAAGGUACUACAAUCUGGUUUUUAUUGGCCUACUCUCUUCAAGGAUGCCCGUAAGUUUGUCUUAUCUUGUGAUGAAUGUCAAAGAAUUGGUAAUAUUAGUAGACGUCAAGAAAUGCCUAUGAAUUAUUCACUUGUUAUUGAACCAUUUGAUGUUUGGGGCUUUGACUAUAUGGGACCUUUUCCUUCCUCUAAUGGUUAUACACAUAUUUUAGUUGCUGUUGAUUACGUUACUAAGUGGGUAGAAGCUAUUCCAACUAGUAGUGCUGAUCAUAACACUUCUAUUAAAAUGCUUAAAGAAGUUAUCUUUCCAAGGUUUGGAGUCCCUAGAUAUCUAAUGACUGAUGGUGGUUCACAUUUUAUUCAUGGUGCCUUCCGUAAAAUGCCUGCUAAAUAUGAUGUUAAUCAUAGAAUUGCAUCCCCUUAUCACCCUCAGUCUAGUGGUCAAGUAGAAUUGAGUAAUAGAGAACUCAAAUUAAUUUUGCAAAAGACUGUCAAUAGGUCCAGAAAGAAUUGGUCCAAGAAACUUGAUGAUGCAUUAUGGGCCUAUAGAACUGCAUAUAAAAACCCUAUGGGUAUGUCUCUGUAUAAAAUGGUCUAUAGAAAAGCAUGUCACUUACCUCUCGACCUAGAACACAAGGCUUAUUGGGCUAUUAAAGAACUAAAUUAUGAUUUUAAACUUGCUGCUGAAAAAAGGUUAUUUGAUAUUAACUCACUUGAUGAAUGGAGAACCCAAGCCUACGAAAAUGCCAAGUUGUUUAAAGAAAAAGUUAAAAGGUGGCAUGAUAAAAGAAUACAAAAGCGUGAGUUUAAUGUAGGUGAUUAUGUAUUGCUAUACAACUCUUGUUUAAGAUUUUUUUUGCAGGAAAACUUCUCUCUAAAUGGGAAGGUGCUUACGUUAUCGAAGAGUUCUACCGUUCCGGUGCCAUAAAAAUCUACAACUUCGAAGGCACAAAUCCGAAGGUGGUAAAUGGUCAAAGAAUCAAACAUUAUAUCUCAGGUAAUCCCAUAAAUAUUGAAACCAAUGUUAUUGAAACCAUAACCCCUGAGGAGCACAUAAGGGACACUUUCUGGAACAUUUCAGACUCCGAAAAGGAAUAGGUAUGUGGUACGGUAAGUAAACUGACUCCAAAAGAGUUUUUAAGGCAAUAUUUCUCCGUUUUGGAAUAUUUAGAUAAAUAGAAAAAUAAGCAGCGGUCCGAAAAGGACACGAGGGCUCCACGAGGGUGGAGGGUGCACCCCCCUACCUCGUGGGCACCUCGUGUGCUCUCUGGACUCCGUUUUCUUACAGGACACGUAUUUUGGAUGGUAAAAAUUCAUUAUAUAACCUCCCGGGGGUUUUGACUCCCGUAUCACGCAAAAUCCUCUUGUUUUUGUUUCGGGUUGUUUUCUGUCAGGGUUGUCAAGGCCAGGCACUAUGUCGUCUUCCUCCUCCUCCAACCAUGAAGGCAACGAUGCUUGGCUAAUGAAGAUAGAGCUAAAGAGAGAAGAACAUAUGGAGAUCAACAAGGAUGAAGGGAUCAAGAAGGCCAUGGAGGACCAAGUUCCAGCAACAGAAGACACCCUUCAACUGGAUCACAAUCUUCUUACCCCAACAGAAAUUGAAGCUUCCAAGAUGAUUGAGUUGGCUCGUAUACAAAAUAAGUAUCUCACACAUGAAAAUAUUUUGUUGAAGGAGCAUAUCAUCGCACUCAAGGGCAUUAUCCGCAAGCUAGAAGACCUCCUACGCUCGAUGUGCGACUAUCCAUCAUCAACAACUCCACCUUCUUCUCCAACAAAGAAGAAUUGAGUAUCUGGUAUGGGCACUCCACUUGGCAACUGCCAAGCUUGGGGGAGUGCCCCGGUAUCGAAUCACCAUACCUUUUAUCUUUACCGUUUUUGUUAGUUCGAUCCUUUUGGUAAUAUCUUGAUCUAGUAGAAUAAAAUUUCUUAGUAUGAUCUAGUUGUGAGUUUUGCUUUGUUAUCCUUCUAUGUAAUCGAGUCCGUGAGCUAUAUAAUAAAGAUUAGUGUUGAGUCAAGGGCUUGAUUAUUUUUGCCAUGAUCUCAAGUGAAUAAAAGAAAAGAGAAAGAAAUAAAAAUAAACAAAGAGAUCAUGUGACUCUUAUGGAGAGUAAUGAGCUCACAUAGAAAGAGUAUGAUGAAUAAAAGUUAUUGAGGGUUGACAAACAUAGUUUUGGUCAUCGUUGCAAUUAAUAGGAAGUAAUAAAGAAAGAGAGGUCUUCACAUAUAAAUAUACUAUCUUGGACAUCUUUUAUGAUUGCGAGCACUCAUUAAAAUAUGACAUGCUAAAGAGUUGACAUUGGAUAAGGAAGACAACAUAAUGGGUUAUGUUUUCUUACAUCUGAGAUAAAUUAUAUUGUCUUGGAUCCUCCAACAUGUUGAGCUUGCCUUUCUCCCUCAUGCUAGCCAAAUUCAUUGCACCAAGUAGAGAUACUACUUGUGCUUCCAAAUACCCUUAAACCAGUUUUGCCAUGAGAAUCCACAAUACCUACCUAUGGAUUGAGUAAGAUCCAUCAAGUAAGUUGUCAUCGGUGCAAGCAAUAAAAAUUGCUCUCUAAAUAUGUAUGAUUGAUUGGUGUGGAGGAAAUAAGCUUUAUACGAUCGUGUGAUAUGGAAGUAAUAAAAGCGACAGACUGCAUAAUAAAGGUCCAUAUCACAAGUGGCAAUAUAAAGUGAUGUUAUUUCACAUUAGGAUUUUGUGCAUCCAACCAUAAAAGUGCAUGACAACCUCUGCUUCCCUCUGCGAAGGGCCUAUCUUUCUUUUAUCUCCUACACUGCAAAAGAGUCAUGGUGAUCCUCACCUUCCUUUUUACAUUUUAUCCUUUGGCAAGCACAAUAUGUUGGAAAGAUCACGGUAUAUAUGGCUAAUUGGAUGUGAGUUUUCAUGAACUAUUACUGUUGACAUUACCCUUGAGGUAAAACGUUGGGAGGCAAAACUAUAAGCCCCUAUCUUUCUUUGUGUCCGAUUAAAACUCCAUACCCAUAAGUAUUGCGUGAGUGUCAGCAAUUGUGAAAGACUAUAUGAUAGUUGAGUAUGUGGACUUGCUGAAAAGCUCUUAUACAUUGACUCUUUCCUAUGUUAUGAUAAAUUGCAAUUGCUUCAAUGACUGAGAUUAUAGUUUGUUAGUUUUCAAUGAAGUUUACGAUCUAUACUUGAUAUUGUGAUUGAAUUAUUACUCUAGCAUAAGAUAUCAUAUGACAAGAAUUAUAUAAGUUGCUGCUCUAAGAAUGAUCAUGAUGCCCUCAUGUCCGUAUUUUAUUUUUAUCGACACUUUCAUCUCUAAACAUGUGAACAUAUUUUCCGAUUUUGGCUUUUCGCUUGAGGACAAGCGAGGUCUAAGCUUGGGGGAGUUCAUACGUCCAUUUUGCAUCAUGCUUUUAUAUCAAUAUUCAUUGCAUUAUGGGUUGUUAUUACACAUUAUGUCACAAUACUUAUGCCUAUUCUCUCUUAUUUUACAAGGUUUACAUAAAGAGGGAGAAUGCUGGCAGCUGGGAUUCUGGCUGGAAAAGGAGCAAAUAUUACAGACCUAUUCUGCACAGCUCCAAAAGUCCUGAAACUUCACGGAUGAUGUUUUCCAAAUAUAUAAAAAACAUUGAGCGCAAGAACUUCACCAGGGGGCACACCCUGCCCACGAGGGUGGGGGCGCGCCCUACCCCCCUGGGCGCGCCCCCCUACCUCGUGGGCCCCCUGGUGGCCCUCCGGUGACCAUCUUCUGCUAUAUGGACUCUUUCGAUGGGAAAAAAUCAUAAGCCAUCUUCUCGGACAAAACUCCGCCGCCACGAGGCGGAACCAAUCUAGGGUUCUGGCGGGGCUGUUCUGCCGGGGAAACUUCCCUCCCGGAGGGGGAAAUCAUCGUCAUUGUCAUCACCAACGCUCCUCUCAUCGGGAGAGGGCAAUUUCCAUCAACAUCUUCAUCAGGACCAUCUCAUCUCAAAACCCUAGUUCAUCUCUUGUAUCCAAUUCUUGUCUCCAAGUCCAGGAUUGGUGCUAGUAGGUUGCUAGUAGUGUUAACUACUCCUUGUAGUUGAUGCUAGUUGGUUUAAUUGGUGGAAGAUCAUAUGUUCAGAUCCUAUAUGCACAUUAAUACCCCUCUGAUUAUGAACAUGUUUAUGCUUUGUGAGUAGUUACUUUUGUUCCUGAGGACAUGGGAGAAGUCUUGCUAUUAGUAGUCAUGUGAAUUUGGUAUUCGUUCGAUAUUUUGAUGAGAUGUAUGUUGUCUCUCCUCUAGUGGUGUUAUGUGAACGUCGACUACAUGAAACUUCACCAUUAUUUGGGCAUAGAGGAAGGCAUUGAGAAGUAACAAGUAGAUGAUGGGUUGCUAGAGUGACAGAAGCUUAAACCCUAGUUUAUCUGUUGCUUCGUAAGGGGCUGAUUUGGAUCCAUAUGUUUCAUGUUAUGGUUAGGUUUAUCUUAAUACUUUUGUUGUAUUUGCGGAUGCUUGCAAUAGAGGUUAAUCAUAAGUGGGAUGCUUGUCGAAGUAAGGGCAUCACCCAAGCACCGGUACACCCACAUACCAAAUUAUCAAAGUAACGAACGUGAUCAUAUAAGCGUGAUGAAAACUAGCUUGACGAUAUUCCCAUGUGUCCUCGGGAGCGCUUUACAUCAUAUAAGAGUUUGUCCAGGCUUGUCCUUUGCUACAAAAAGGAUUGGGCCACCUUGCUGCACCUUAUUUGCUUUUGUUACUUGUUGCUCGUUAUAAAUUAUCCUAUCACAAAACUAUCUAUUACCACUUAUUUCAGUACUUGCAGAGAAUACCUUGCUGGAAACCGCUUAUCAUUUCCUUCUGCUCCUCGUUGGGUUCGACACUCUUACUUAUUGAAAGGACUACGAUAGAUCCCCUAUACUUGUGGAUCAUCACUUCAUUUGCAAAGUCAAUGACGGUUUGUUGGGUCUCACUCUUCCUCUUGAAGAAAUAUACCCACGUGUAUCUUGAAUAAUCAUCCACAAUCACCAAGCAAUACUUCCUACCCCCAAGACUAUCAAAAGAUGGAGGCCCAAAGAGAUCCAUGUGAAGGAGCUCCAAAGGCCUCUUUGAGUAAAUGAUAGUCGUGGGAGGGUGACCUUUUCAUGUAGCUUUCCUUCGAUACAAGCACUGUAAGCAUGAUCUUUGGCAAAGGUAACAUCUGUUAGUCCACAAACAUGGUCCCCCUUGAGAAUACCUUGCAAAGAUCUCAUAUUGACAUGGGCUAGACGGUGAUGCCAAAGCCAUCCCACGUCAACUUUAGCCAUUAGGCAUGUCAUGGUCUUAGUGAGUCGCUCUGAAAAGUUAAUCACAUAGAGACCAUUUUCGACAUGCCCAACAAAGGCUAUUUUAAGAGUCUUGCUCCACAAGAGGGCCACGGUAUCAACAUCAAAGAAGGUGGCAAAACCCAUGAGUGCUAGUUGACGAACGGAAAGUAAAUUGUAUGCAAGGGACUCAACAAGCAUGACCUUCUCGAUCGUAAGAUCAUGAGAAAUAACAACCUUGCCGAGUCCCAAUAGCUUAGAGGACGAGGCGUCACCCCACUCGACGUUGGUGGGCAUGGAUGGAAUCUUUUGCAUGUCCACCACCAAGUCCUUGCUUCCGGUCAUAUGAUUAGUAGCUCCACUAUCGAGCAACCAUGAUCCCCCACCGGAAGCAAACACCUACAAGAGAUCAAUGCUUGGUUUUAGGUACCCAUUUUUGUAAUGGGUCCUUUGAUGUUAGUAACAAGGGUCUUAGGAACCCAAAUAGACCAUUCAAUGUACUCAUAAGGAGAACCAACAAAUUUGGCAUAAACAUGCCCAUCACUAGCACGGCACAACACAUAAGAAGGGUUAAAGUCGCCGGCUUUGUUGGGAAGGGAAGCGUUGCCCUUCUUGGCAUCACUACCCCUCAUGGUGUUCUUCUCCUUCUCCUUAGGAGCACCCUCUCCCUCCUUCACAAAGGUUUUCUUGAGAGGAGGAGGUCGUUUGGCCUUGUCAUUCUUCUUCUUGUUCUUGGACUUGGGCACGUACCCAAUCCCUUCUUUGGCCACAAAUUCCUUUUGGUUGCUCAAAAGGUCGUUGAGGUUCUUCUCGCCUUGUAUGCAAGACACAAGACCUUUCUCAAGUUGCACCUUCAACUUAGCGUUCUCCUCAACAAGAUGCACAUGCUCACAACAUGGGCUAGUAGCAUUUGCAUUAUCAAUUAACAUCAUACGAGGAAAAGUGGCUUUCUCCUUGGUUAGCUUUACUUGAAGUUGAUCAUGAGACUCUUUGAGGCUAGCAUGAGCACCCUUCAAGACCUUGUGAGCCUUGUCAAGUAGGUCAAACUCCUCUUUGAUUCUAGCAAGAUUAACCCCAAGCUUGGCCUUCUCGUAGUUUAGCACACAAGAAACAACAAGAGCAUGAUCAAAAUCUUUCUUUAACUUAGCGUGAUCAACGUUGUGUGACUCCUCAAGAGCCAAACGAAGACCUCGAUCUUCCUCAAGAGCAUUGGAAAGAUCCGAAAUCUCAUCGGCAUAGUCACGACUAUGCCCCUCCAUCUUGGAGAAAGUAUCUUCAUGAGCCUCGAUCAUGUAAUUGGCUUCACCAAGUUGUUCCAAGAGAGCAACGAAAUGCUUCUUGGAUUUACCCUUGAGUUUACCCAUAAAGGACUCAAACUCAUUUUCCUCCACAUUAGAUCCCUCAUAUUCAUCAAUGCAAUCCGUCAAGGAAGGAUUAUUAAUGAUGGUAGUUUUGAUGUUGGGGGUUACCUUGUUGGUGGCUUUAGCCAUGAGGCACUUGGCGGUGAUGUUCUCAUAGGGUGAGUCGAAGAGAGACACUCGUGGAGUUGUUGCAAUGGCAACGAAGGCCAUGGCAACCGACUCACCAUCUUCAUUAUCAUCACCAUCCUCAUGGUACUCUUCUUGAACCACCAACGCCUUGUGAGAAGUCUUCUUGGUGAAGUUGCUCUUGUUUGGGAAAGACUUGGCUUUGUCCUUUCGGGUGAGCUUGCCACCAUUGUAUUCCCUCUUCUCAUACGGGCACUCCGCAAAAAAAUGGCUCACAUUCCCACAAUUAUAGCAAGUCCUCACAUGUUGCUUGCUCUUCGUGCCACUUGAGUUGUUCUUGUUGAAGUUUGGCCUUGAGUUUUUCUUUCUCCAAAAUUCCCUUGAAGCAAGUGCCAUGUGUUCAUGAUAGGCAUACUUUGUAUCUUUGGGGUUGCUUUCCUCUUAUUCCUCUUAUUCUUCUUCUUCAACACAAACCUUGGCCUUCAAUGCAAGGUUGGGCUUCUUUGCCCUUUGAGAGCGAAGCACCGCAUUGUCGGCAGUCUUGUCCAAGAUGCUCAUAGCCACAAACUCAUCCAACACUUCACUUGAGGACAAGGUGUGGAAGUCAGGCCUUUGACGAAUGACGGAGGACAUGGCCUUGUGGUAAGGCAUCAUUGCCUUGAGGAAUUUGUGCUUGAUCCAAUUGUCAUCCGUGUCCUUGCUCCCAUGAUCUCAGAGUGAAACCGCGAGUUUGGUUACUCUUCGAUAAAGCUCACGAGGUUCUUCAUCUUCCUUCAUUGCAAACUCAUCGGCUUCAUCUUGCACCACUUCAUAGUUGGAGCGUUGAAUGCUUGCGCUUCCCCGGUAGAGAGAAACAACUUGGUGCCAUGCAUCUUUGGCUAUGGCGUAGGGUCGGAGGUGAGGAAGAUCUUCGGGUGGAAUUGCAUCUUGGAUGAUGAAGAGAGCAUUCUCAUUGAAUUGAUUAUCCACGGCUUCUCUUGGAGUGAAGUUGCUUCGGUCAUGUGGAUAGAAACCUUCUUCAAUGAUUCUCCAAAGAUUAGUAUUCACAUGAUUUAAAUGACGCUUAAACCGAUAGACCCAAGAAUCAAAGUCCUCAUUUUUCACAAUCUUAGGGGGAGGACCGGCAUGAUUCAAAUGAGUGCAAGGAAUCGGUCCACCAUAAACAAGUGGAGGUUCCACAUGGGCAAAGAUGCCGGUGCCAUUUUUACCACUAGAAGGAGCCUUUCCACUAGUAGUUUCCCCCUUGUCGGAGUUAGCAUCCGUCACCUUGUUAGUGGGAUCACCCACUUUCAACGGUGCGGUGGAUAGUUUAAGCCCUUCAAUGAAUUUAGUAAACAUGCUUUCAACCUCAGUCGUCAUGGAGGUUUUCAAUGUCUCCAAGGCCACAUUGAAUUCCUCACGAGAGACCGAGGUUCCCCCAUCGCCCGUAGACGAGAUCGCAUUAACACCAGAGUGCUCCUCCACACCGUCUACGGUGUCAACCAUACUCUUCGGACGGCAAAGUCCUUAGUAAAGAGACGAGGCUUUGAUACCAAUUGAAAGGAUCGAUAUAGUUGACUAGAGGGGAGUGAAUAGGCAACUAACAAUUUUUAACUUUUCUUUACCAAAUUAAACUUUGCAUCAAAGUAGGUUGUCUAGACAUGCAACUAUGUGAGCAACCUAUAUGAUGCAACAACAACAAGCACACAAGCAAUCAAGGGAAAUAACACAAAUAAACUUGCACAAGUAAAGGUACGAGAUAACCAAGAGUGGAGCCGGUGGAGAUGAGGAUGUGUUACCGAAGUUCCUUCCUUUUGAGGGUAAGUACGUCUCCAUUGGAGCGGUGUGGAGGCACAAUGCUCCCCAAGAAGCCACUAGGGCCACCGUAUUCUCCUGACGCCCUCACACAAUGCGAGAUGCCGUGAUUCCACUAUUGGUGCCCUUGGAGGCGGCGACCGGACCUUUACAAACAAGGUUGGGGCAAUCUCCACAACUUAAUCGGAGGCUCCCAACAACACCAUGAAGCUUCACCACAAUGGAAUAUGGCUCCGCGGUGACCUCAACCAUCUAGGGUGCUCAAACACCCAAGAGUAACAAGAUCCACAAGGGAUUAGUGGGGGGAAUCAAAUUUCUCUUGGUGGAAGUGUAGAUCGAGGCCUUCUCAACCAAUCCCUAGAAAAUCAACAAGUUUGAUUGGCUAGGGAGAGAGAUCGGGCGAAAAUGGAGCUUGGAGCAACAAUGGAGCUUAGGGUUGGAAGAGGUAGUCAACUCGGAGAAGAAGAUACCCCUUAUAUAGUGGAGAGACAAAUCCAACCGUUAUCCACUUAACCAGCCCGCGACAUGUGGUACUACCGCGCCUGCCAAGCGGUACUACCGCAAGGGCUCACAGUACUACCGCACCUCCUUGCGAUACUACCGAAAGGCAGGGUUGGACCAGCCUGGGAAGGCCGUGGACAAAUAAACAUCCGUGGCCAGUUCCGCUGAUUUUCAAAUAGUGCAAAAGUCCGACACGGUACUACCGCCGAAGACAAGCGGUACUACCGUGCAGGGAGCAAAUGUAAAAAAUUACAUCCGCUCCUACUUCCGCUACUGGUGCUGUGCCGGACCAGGACUCACGGUACUACGGCUCCCAAGGAGCGGUACUACCGUGGCCUCCUGCAGUACUACCGCAAGGGCCUGCGGUACUACCGCUCAUAAGAGAAGUACUACCGCAAGCCCCAGAACAGCAACACUAGGAAAUCUUCUUUUUGCACAAACUCGAAGAAAUGGAGAAUGCUCCAAAGUGGUAAGGGAAAGGCGGAGUAAAUAGGAGUAAACGUGUACGUGACAAUUCCACCCAAACCUUUCCAAAGCGAACCCCCUCUUAAUAGUACGGGUUUCCUACGACUCAAAUUCACCAAAAAGGAAUGAAAAAAAAUGUCGUCUUCAAUAAUCUUCGAGGGGCUCCUAACCGUCUUGUGCCUAGUCAUGAAAUAUCUGAAAUACUCGAGACACACGAUUAGUCCGCAAAUGCAUUGUCAUCAAUCACCAAAACACCUUAGGGAUAAAUAUGCCCUUACAGUUAGUCAUGCCUUUUGGGUUAACUAAUGGACCUAGUACUUUCAUGAGAUUAAUGAACGAAGUUUUACGUGGUUUCAUUGGACGAUUUAUGGUAGUCUAUUUUGAUGAUAUACUGAUUUAUAGCAGAUCUUUGGAGGAACAUUUGGAACAUUUAUGUGUUGUUUUUAUUGCUUUACGUGAUGCACGUUUGUUUGGUAACCUUGGGAAGUGCACCUUUUGCACUGACCGAGUAUCUUUUCUUGGUAAUGUUGUUACUCCACAGGGAAUUGAAGUUGAUAAAGCCAAGAUUGAAACUAUUGAGAGUUGGCCACAGCCCAAAACGGUCACACAAGUGAGGAGUUUUCUUGGACUCGCUGGUUUCUAUAGGCGUUUUGUGAGAGAUUUCAGCACCAUUGUUGCACCUCUCAGUGAGCUUACAAAAAAGGAUGUGCCUUUUGUUUGGGGUACUGCACAGGAAGAAACCUUCACGGUAUUGAAAGAUAAGUGGACACAUGCUCCUUCACUCCAACUUCCUGAUUUUAAUAAGACUUUUGAGCUUGAAUGUGAUGCUAGUGGAAUUGGAUUAGGAGGUGUGCUAUUACAAGAUGGCAAACCUGUUGCAUACUUUUCUAAAAAAUUGAGUGGGCCUAGUUUGAACUAUUCUACUUAUGAUAAAGAAUUAUAUGCUCUUGUUCGGACCUUAGAAACAUGGCAACAUUAUUUAUGGCCCAAAGAAUUUGUUAUAUAUUCUGAUCAUGAAUCUUUGAAACACAUUAAAAGUCAAGCAAAACUGAACCAUACACAUGCUAAAGGGUUGAAUUCAUUGAGACUUUCCCUUAUGUCAUUAAACACAAGAAGGGUAAAGAAAAUGUUAUUGCCGAUGCAUUGUCUCAUCAUUAUACUAUGCUUUCACAACUUGACUUUAAAAAAUUUGGUUUGGAGACCAUCAAAGAUCAAUAUGUGUAUGAUGCUAAAUUUAAAGAUGUAUUGCAGAAUUGUAAGGAAGGGAGAACAUGGAACAAGUUCAUCGUUAGUGAUGGAUUUGUGUUCCGUGCUAACAAGCUAUGCAUUCCAGCUAGCUCUGUUCGUCUUUUGUUGUUGCAGGAGGCGCAUGGAGGAGGAUUAAUGGGACACUUUGGCGUGAAGAAGACGGAGGACAUACUUGCUACACAUUUCUUUUGGCCAAAGAUGAGACGGAUGUUGAGCGUUUUGUUGCUCACUGCACUACAUGUCAAAAAGCUAAGUCACGACUGAAUCCUCAUGGUUCAUAUAUGCCUUUGCCUGUACCUAGUGUUCCUUGGGAGGAUAUAUCUAUGGACUUUGUUUUAGGUUUAACUCGAACAAAGAAGGGGAGGGAUAACAUAUUUGUUGUCGUGGAUAGAUUCUCGAAAAUGGCACACUUUAUACCAUGUCAUAAAAGCGAUGAUGUUGUUAAUGUUGCUGGUUUGUUCUUUCGUGAAAUUAUUCGCUUGCACGGUGUGCCAAAUACUAUUGUUUUAGAUCGUGAUACUAAAUUUCUUAGCCACUUUUGGAGAUAUUUAUGGGCUAAGUUGGGGACUAAACUGCUUUUUAGUACUACUUGUCACCCCCAAACUAAUGGACAAACUGAAAUAGUCAAUAGAACAUUGUCUACUAUGCUUAGGGCUAUUUUGAAGAAUAAUAAGAAAAUGUGGGAAGAAUGCUUGCCUCAUAUUGAAUUUGCUUAUAAUCGUUCAUUGCAUUCUACUACUAAGAUGUUCCCUUUUGAAAUUGUGUAUGGUUUCCUACCUCAUGCACCUAUUGAUUUGUUGCCUCUUCCAUCUUUGGAGAAGGUUAAUUUUGAUGCUAAACAACAUGUUGAAUUGAUUUUAAAAAUGCACGAGUUAACUAAGGAAAGCAUUGAGCGUAUGAAUGCUAAAUAUAAACUUGCUGGAGAUAAGGGUAGAAAACAUGUUGUGUUUGCACCUGGAGAUCUUGUUUGGUUACAUUUGUGUAAGGAUAGAUUUCCUAAUUUGCGCAAAUCAAAGCUAAUGCCACGUGUUGAUGGUCCUUUUAAGGUGUUAGAGAAAAUAAAUGAUAAUGCAUAUAAACUUGAGCUGCCUGCAGAUUUUGUGGUUAGUACCACUUUUAACAUUGUAGAUUUGAAGCCUUAUUUGGGUGAGGAAGAUGAGCUUCCGUCGAGGACGACUUCAUUUCAAGAAGGGGAGGAUUAUGAGGACAUCAAUACCAUUGUUAUACCCACAACCCCUGCUGCUAUACGUAUUGGACCAAUUACUAGAGCUCGCGCACGCCAAUUGAAUUACCAGGUACUUUCGUUUUUUGGUAACGAUUCUAAUGUUCAUGAGAAUAUGAUGCUGCCUAAAUUGGAUACAUUUGUUUUGCUUACAAAUGAAGGGCCUAGCUUGGACAAGAAAGGUGAACCUUGGAGCAAGUUCAAGCAUGGAGAUGAUGGCAUGCGCAACGGAACAAGAACGGAGUUACAAGUGAUGAUUCCAGGACUUUGAAGCCACCAUAAUGAGUGCAUGAAGCCUUGGAUGAAAUAUACAAGAUGUCACUUCAUAAAUUUCAUCCAGAGGCUAUUCUAGGUGUUGCGUCACCUUAUUUUUGGGUCAGCCCCAUGUAAUUUUGAAAUACUUGAUUAUAGGUUGUUUUUAGAGUCCGUAUGUGUGGGGAAACAAGAGUUAGGGUUGGUUUUGUCUCCCUCCUUCAAGGGCCACGAAAUUCCCCCCUCUUUCCUCCAUAUAUACAACCCUUAGGGCAUCGUUUAGACUUUGGGUUUUGUUUAGAUUAAAAGUACGCCAUAGCUGCAACUUCGCGUACUUCGUUUGUGUUCAACGACCAGACCAAUACGUCACAGUCCCCCACCUUGAUCAAUAAAGCUUUCAUCUUAUAUUCGCAAUAUCCAUAUUAGAAUCUCAGUUUCUUGCUUAUUCUUCGUUUGCUUGCAGGAAAUAGACCUUCGUGGUCAGGUUGAUCGUGCUCCGGCGUAGUCAAUAACCUCUCGGAGUUGGUUUAGCGAUUGCUAAGGCGCGACGUCCUCGCACGUUCGUAGUCGGGUCGUCAAAGUCUACUCCACCAAAACGAUAACCACCUUCUCAUCGAAUGACGAGACACCUUAGCCUCUAUCAUCUGUUGGGGCCUAUUGUUCUGUUCCUGCCCCAACAAGACAUGUUUAUUUCUGUUUUUCUAUAGGGAUAACUCUAUACUUGUAUGAAAUAUGUCGUGGUGGUUAAUGUAAAGGGGAAACCCUUUUUCGACUUUUCAAGCUACCAUAGUGGGUUACCCAAGUAUGACUAGCUUGACAAGUUCAGUGACAGAGAAUGCAUUUUUUACUCUAAAGCAAUCAACUAGUUUAGUUUGUGUGCGCAUCUCAGCUAAUGUGUCAAUAACGCAUUUUACUAGCAAGUUCGGUGAUAGUGAACUACACAUCUCAGCUACCCAUUUGUGUGGUUUAACUACACAUAUCAUGCAAGUUUAUAGACUAAUAAAACUAUAGAAAAGUUGUUGAUUUUGGGAAAUCUUUGACGAUGUCAAUUUUCUGCUUGCCGAAACAUUAUCUAGCCAAUUUUUGGUUGUAUAAACUGUGCUCUUACUCGAAGUUAGAACUGCUCAUGUUUGAGCAAAGCAUAUGAUAGAGUAGAAUGAAAGUUUCUUGAAGACAUGAUGAUAAAACUAGGAUUUAAAAGGGUCUGGGUCCAGCUGAUAAUGAAGUGCAUAACUAGUGUAAAAUAACAAAUUAAGGUAAACCAGGGCAAAAUUGAUGUGAUCGUACCUCAGAGAGGACUAUGCCAAGGAGAUUCUUUAUUCUCAUACUUAUUUUUGUUUUGCGCUGAAGGUUUCUCUGCAAUGUUGAAUGAAGCUGAAGCAAAUGGAAAGCUCAGAGGCAUAAGAAUAUGCAGAAACACCCCUAGUGUUAGCCGCCUCCUCUUUGCGGAUGACUCAUUAGUGUUAAUGGAGGCAAAUGAGGGAGCAGCACAAGAGGUAAACAUGAUAUUGAGUACAUAUGAAAAGUGCUCAGGGCAAAUGAUAAACAAGGACAAAUCAUCAAUUUUCUUUAGCAAAAAUAAGGAUGAGGGACGAAAAAACAUUAUGAAGAGGAUCAUGGGCAUCAAUGUGGAGGGCUUAACUAGAAAAUACUUAGGCCUUCCUACAUAUAUUGGCAAAGGAAAAGCAAAGAAUUUCGCUAUAUUCGAGAGAAGGUCUGGAAAAAAAAACAGGAAUGGAAGGAGAAACUGUUGUCAAAAGCAGGGAAAGAAAUAUUGAUAAAAACUGCGGCGCAGGCAAUUCUAGUGUAUGCAAUGGCAUGCUUGGACCUGACCAGAACCUUCUGUGACGACCUGAGUGCUCUCAUAGGACGCUAUUGGUGGAGCCAAAUGGAUAAGACCAAUAUAAUCCAUUGGAUUAAUUGGGAAAAGCUAUCAAAGCCAAAAAAAGAUGGAGGUAUAGGUUUUUGGAACCUGCACUAUUUCAACCUAGCUAUGUUGGCUAGACAGGCAUGGAAAAUUCUACAGAAUCCCCAUUCCUUGUGCUCCCAAGUGUUGGCUGCCAGAUAUUUCCCAAAUGGAUCAAUGCUUGAGGCUAUUCCUUGUGCAUGUAUUUCCUAUACUUGGCAAAGCAUAAUAAAAGGCAUACAAUUGCUGGAGAAAGGGAUAAUAUGGAGAGUGGGAAACGGGGAAAGGAUCAAAAUAUGGACUGGUCCGUGGAGGAAACACACGGAGGCCCAAUACACCAAAAGGUAACCAUCUGGUGGACAAAGUAGCUGAUUUGAUCAACCCGAUAACAAACCAAUGGGAUGUGCAGCUGGUACAACAGACAUUCUCGGCUGAGGAUGCAAACCUCAUCAUGCGAAUACCCAUUCAAGAAGAUACAGGUGAUUUCAUUGCAUGGCAUUAUGAUAAAAAAUGAUCAUUUUCUGUUAAAUCAGCUUAUAAGGUGGGUGUAGAUAGUGCAGCUAGAGAUUUUGUAUAGGGCUAACUUCAACUUCCAUUGCAGAAGGGGAAAUCUCAAGCUUCAACUGGAAGAAGUUAUGGGCGCUCCCUCUACCAAACAAAGUACUACACUUCUUAUGAAGAGUUGCGACGUACAACCUUCCCUUGCGAAUGAAACUUCAUAGAAAAGGUAUUCCUGUUGAUACUAGGUGCCCUCUUUGUUAUAGAUUGGAUGAGGAUGGAGGCCACCUCUUUUCUUAAUGCAAAAAAAGUUAAAAAUCCGUGGAGAGCAUCUCAACUUGAACACAUCAGACUAAAGUUAGUCGAAUGUCAUGACCGAAAGGAAGUGUUUGAAAACAUUUUCACUUCAAAGAAAACCGAAUGCUUGAAAGUUUGCUUACUUUUAUGGUUAUGGUGGCAUGAAAGAAACAACGCUAGUAAGGAUGAACCCACAAGAAGUAUUAUCUUCAAUUGACUUGCGUGAAGGACAAGACAAAGAAGGAAGAGAUGAGCAAGCAAGCAAAACAUGAGUGGAAGCCACCUCCGAAGGGAAUUCUCAAGAUAAACACAGAUGGAUCCUUUACUGAAGAAACACAGUCAGGAGGCUGGGUUUCACCGUCAGGAAUGCUCCUGGCAGCAGGUGCUCGAAGUCUGAAUCAAGUCUCCAGUCCAUUGCAUGCUGAAGCUUUGGCCCUUCAGCAAGCAACUAUUACUGCUACUCAUUUGGGCUGCCAACAAGUGAUAUUUGAAACAGAUUCCACAAGGCUGAAGGAAGCAAUAACAAGUAACAACCUAUGAUCUUUCAGCUUUAGGCACUUUGUGUACAGAUGUGAAGUUUAAGGUGCAUGUAGGUCUGAAUGUUGUGAGUGUGAAUCAAUCUAGCCGUGGUUGCAAUAAAGCAGCAAAUAUGUUAGCUGCGAGUGGAGUCUAUAUUGAGAGUGGGUGCUAUGAGACUCGGCUUGGCCACUUUCCGCAACCUGUACUAGACGCUGUUGCUGGUGAUAUGGCCAGCGAGUAAUCGUAAUAGAAAUUUGUGUUUGCUUUCAAAAAAAAUAACUGCUGAUGUUUGAUGUAGCUUGGCUGUAAACCGUGCUCUGACCAAGCUAGCAUCGGUGCCAUUGGAAGCGAGAAACAUAUCAAAAAGAUGAAUUUUGUGACAGCAUACUGACUAAGCACGAGGAGCAAAUCCACACAGGAUUAAGAUAUUGUAGCACAACAGGCUGAUAGAGGACGAUUACAUAGUAGAUGGGCACACAACCAAAGCAGCUGGGACAGCAGCACACCAGAGUUCAGACCCAUGCUUAGGUCAACAACCAGUCAUUGCGGAACAUGAUAAUACUAGGUGGAUUACGGCAGCUUCUCUCUCUCUC
This 35597-nucleotide long non-coding RNA is filed under the name Triticum aestivum (bread wheat). RNAcentral describes it as "long non-coding RNA (TAES_LNC020793)". The record is from RNAcentral. Lineage: Eukaryota; Viridiplantae; Streptophyta; Magnoliopsida; Poales; Poaceae.